This 406-nucleotide ribosomal RNA is filed under the name uncultured bacterium. Its description in RNAcentral is "bacterial SSU rRNA". It matches the Rfam family "Bacterial small subunit ribosomal RNA", at positions 355 to 776 of the family's 1533-position model. The record is from RNAcentral.
UCAAGAAUAUUCCUCAAUGGCCGAAAGGCUGAAGGAGCGACGCCGCGUGUAUGAUGAAGCCUUUCGGGGUGUAAAAUACUUUUAAUUGGGACGAAACAAUGACGGUACCAAUUGAAUAAGGGGCUGCUAACUUCGUGCCAGCAGCAGCGGUAAUACGAAGGCCCCAAGCGUUAUCCGGAUUUAUUGGGCGUAAAGGGUCCGUAGGUGGCCAAAUACAUCUCCUGUUAAAUCUAUCGGCUCAACCGAUAGGCUGCGGGAGAGAUGGUUUGGCUAGAGGCCGGAAGAGGUAAGCGGAAUUGCUGGUGUAGGGGUUAAAUCCGUUAAUAUCAGCAGGAACACCAAAUGCGAAGGCAGCUUACUAGAACGAGCCUGACACUAAUGGACGAAAGCGUGGGGAGCGAAUGGG